CGGGUGAGUAACGCGUAUCCAACCUUCCGUACACUCAGGGAUAGCCUUUCGAAAGAAAGAUUAAUACCUGAUGGUAUGAUGAGAUUGCAUGAUAGCAUCAUUAAAGAUUUAUCGGUGUACGAUGGGGAUGCGUUCCAUUAGGUAGUAGGCGGGGUAACGGCCCACCUAGCCGACGAUGGAUAGGGGUUCUGAGAGGAAGGUCCCCCACAUUGGAACUGAGACACGGUCCAAACUCCUACGGGAGGCAGCAGUGAGGAAUAUUGGUCAAUGGACGAGAGUCUGAACCAGCCAAGUAGCGUGAAGGAUGAAGGUCCUACGGAUUGUAAACUUCUUUUAUAAGGGAAUAAAACCUCCCACGUGUGGGAGCUUGUAUGUACCUUAUGAAUAAGCAUCGGCUAACUCCGUGCCAGCAGCCGCGGUAAUACGGAGGAUGCGAGCGUUAUCCGGAUUUAUUGGG
This 457-nucleotide ribosomal RNA is filed under the name uncultured bacterium. RNAcentral's name for it is "bacterial SSU rRNA". It matches the Rfam family "Bacterial small subunit ribosomal RNA", at positions 103 to 558 of the family's 1533-position model. The record is from RNAcentral.